UCUCUAUCGUCACCUUCAAAACCCUAACGCCGCUACGCAUCAUCUUCAGCAAAUCCAAAAAUCUUCUUCAGCAAAUCGACAAAUGCCAAUUAGGGUUUUUCACCCGAUUAGGGUUUUUCCACAUAAACUGGAUCCAUAUGCGGUACUGUGACGCUUCCACAUUCCACAUCAUCUUCAUCUUCUUCUGGUUUCUUCCCCUCUGUAUUCUCCAGCUUAUUCAGGAAUCAAUUUAAUAGUUUUCCUCAACAAAUCCUUAAUAAGAUUACUUUCUGCCGCCUAAUUACCCAGCCACUGAUUUCAGAUAUGCGUGGAGUAUUUGGUGAGUUCUGGUUGUUUUAAUUCAUUAAACUUCUUUCUCACACAACGAUUUGAUGUUAGUAUUAUAGUUUUAUCAUUAUGUUCAGAUUAGGAUUUGUUGUGGUUCAAAAUUGUUAAAAUUAGGAUAGGGUUUCAUCUUGAUGUAUGUGACAACAUGUAAUUCAAUUAUCAAUUUAGAUUAGGGUUUGUCUUUUGAAUUCAUCUCUAUUUGGUUUUGUAGAUUGAAGGUUCAUAUCUUGAAGUUGGUAAAAGUCUCAACAAUUGGGAUGUCUUUUCUCUUUUAUAUUUUUAAUUUAGGUUUUAUUUAUCCAUUUUUAUGUCAAUUUGUGUAUUUUCGUGUUUGUUUUUAAUGUGCAGACAACAUUUGAAAUGGUGACAAUGGAUUUGUGGCUGCUAACCAGUAUCACCAAAUAUCUGGAAUCUAUCUUUUUUAUUAAUUUUUCUCUAAUCUAUAUAAAAAUGUUACUUUCAGUUCUGAAAAACUAUUUGAAUCUGAUUAACCAACAGUUAGAGACAUUUUUUUCUCUAUAUCAUGGUCAAUAAUUCUUCUAGGUUCGAUAUGCAACUUAAAAAUGUUAAAAAAAUACCGAAUAUAUAUGUUUGUUUAUCAAAAUCUUGCAUUUUUUGUUCUUUCUGACUUUAUCGGAUGUUCCCCGUUUUUAUGUGGGCCAUAUGGAUCACCUGUGGGAUACUAAUUCGGUUGUAGAUGCAAUGGAUUGUGCCUUGGAGCUGAUUAAAAGUUAGAGAAAACUUUCAUUUUGACAUGGAAAACAGUGAAUUACGCUACGCCUCAGCAGCAGCAGGAAUCCGAGAGGGUAUAUAUUUGUCGAAUAUUUUGAGGAAUGUGAAGUUUUGAUACUCUCUUAACAUGAUCGCAAAGAACGUGAUUUGUGGUACGCUGUGAUGGAUUAUGAUGAUGAUGAAAAUGAUUGUGAUGAUGCUGAAGGGGAGAGUAUGUGCUUUUUAACUGUGAAUAAAUUUGUAAUUCAUUGUUUAUUUGAUUAUUUUUGUUUCAUCAUCAGAUAACUGAGGUUCAAUCGAAAAGCUCUAUUAUCGGUUAAUCUCUAUGGCCUAUUCAACGUCAUUCAUGCUCAUCGUCUACAGGUGGCCUUCAAGGAUGAAGGAGGAAUCACUGUUGUUCAUUUAAGUCGCGUAUUCAGAAGAUAUUGUUGAUGUCAUGGAUGUACCGACUCCUUUUGGCACUGCAUUAUGUAUGGCAGCUGCCAUAAAGACAGACCAUGAAGCCAGUGGUAGGGAACUGGUGCAGAUACUGCUUGCUGCUGGAGUUGAUGCUACUGUGCAAGACACCCAGCAUGGGCGGAUAGCUUUGCAUACUGAUGCAAUGACCAAACAGCGUUGGUUAAGAUCAUUCUUGAUGCUGGAGUUGAUGUGAACAUAAGAAAUGUGCAAAAACACAAUACCUCUACAUGUGGCAUUGGCAAGAGGAUCCAAUCAUGUGUUGGAAUGUGCAGAAACAAAUUGUAAUAUGCAGCAUCCUAUGAUUCCACCAUUCCAGUUCCUUAUCCAACAAUAUUCCCCGCCAUAAGUUUAUGUUCAUUUUGGCACACCUGUGGUAGUCCGCCAGAAGGUAGCAUCAAGUUUAAGAAAUGACAGUACCACUACUCAAAGUGCUAAGAGUGAGAAUCAUGGUUUUUAGAUGGUAUUCAAGGGUUUCCUGGUGGUGCUCUUAGACAUAUAGUCGUUAACCGCAUCUGGUGGUGCUUAUAGGUAUUAAUAUCAUGAUUUUUAGGUAGCGUUUGGUAUGACGUAAUGGAGAAAGGAAUGGAAUAACCCAUUCAAGGGUAAUAAAAAUAUGGAAUGUUUGGUUGUUGAAUGGAAUGAAAUCAAGUAUUACCUAAGGAAUCAAUUUCCUUGUAAACACCUUCCAUCUAUUCCUUGGCUGCCCCCAGUUUUUUUUCAUUCCGUCCUGUAAUGCAUCAGCUAUUCUCUAUUUCGCCCUCCCCUCAACAUCUCGCUCUGCUCUCCAAAAGUUCACAAUCGCCGUAUGAUAUCAACUGUAACAACAGCAAGUAGUCCUCCGGUCGCUAUUUGUAUCUCAUUUAAAUUCUGGUGAUGUUUGUUAUGCUCUCCGUUGACGAGGCCGAAACGGCAAGCAUGCACCAUUGAUAAACCAAUCGGUCGCCGGUUUUUGGGUGCUAGAUUUUAAUCAUCAAGAUGAAAUUUA
Helianthus annuus (common sunflower) is the source of this 2503-nucleotide long non-coding RNA. RefSeq lists it as uncharacterized. The record is from RefSeq and is a predicted model, not a curated record. NCBI's taxonomy places the organism in Eukaryota, Viridiplantae, Streptophyta, Magnoliopsida, Asterales, Asteraceae. The transcript has 10 exons.